UACAGAGGGUGCAAGCGUUGUUCGAAAUUAUUGGGCGUAAAGGGCGCGUAGGCGGUGCGGUAAGUCCGCAGUGAAAUCUCUGGGCUCAACUCAGAGUCUGCUGUGGAAACUGCCGUGCUUGAGUGUGGGAGAGGUGAGUGGAAUUCCCGGUGUAGCGGUGAAAUGCGUAGAUAUCAGGAGGAACACCUGUAGCGAAAGCGGCUCACUGGACCAUAACUGACGCUGAUGCACGAAAGCUAGGGGAGCAAACAGG
Molecule: ribosomal RNA, 253 nt
Filed under: uncultured bacterium
Lineage: Bacteria
Description: partial 16S ribosomal RNA
Rfam family: Bacterial small subunit ribosomal RNA
Source: RNAcentral